This 805-nucleotide ribosomal RNA is filed under the name uncultured bacterium. Its description in RNAcentral is "bacterial SSU rRNA". It matches the Rfam family "Bacterial small subunit ribosomal RNA", at positions 8 to 813 of the family's 1533-position model. The record is from RNAcentral.
AGAGUUUGAUCCUGGCUCAGGACGAACGCUGGCGGCACGCUUAACACAUGCAAGUCGAACGGGAAAUACUUUAUUGAAACUUCGGUCGAUUUAAUUUAUUUCUAGUGGCGGACGGGUGAGUAACGCGUGGGUAACCUGCCUUAUACCAGGGGAUAACAGCCAGAAAUGGCUGCUAAUACCGCAUAAGCGCACAGAACCGCAUGGUUCGGUGUGAAAAACUCCGGUGGUAUAAGAUGGACCCGCGUUGGAUUAGCUAGUUGGCAGGGCAGCGGCCUACCAAGGCGACGAUCCAUAGCCGGCCUGAGAGGGUGAACGGCCACAUUGGGACUGAGACACGGCCCAGACUCCUACGGGAGGCAGCAGUGGGGAAUAUUGCACAAUGGGGGAAACCCUGAUGCAGCGACGCCGCGUGAAGGAAGAAGUAUCUCGGUAUGUAAACUUCUAUCAGCAGGGAAGAUAAUGACGGUACCUGACUAAGAAGCCCCGGCUAACUACGUGCCAGCAGCCGCGGUAAUACGUAGGGGGCAAGCGUUAUCCGGAUUUACUGGGUGUAAAGGGAGCGUAGACGGCGCAGCAAGUCUGAUGUGAAAGGCAGGGGCUUAACCCCUGGACUGCAUUGGAAACUGCUGUGCUUGAGUGCCGGAGGGGUAAGCGGAAUUCCUAGUGUAGCGGUGAAAUGCGUAGAUAUUAGGAGGAACACCAGUGGCGAAGGCGGCUUACUGGACGGUAACUGACGUUGAGGCUCGAAAGCGUGGGGAGCAAACCAGGAUUAGAUACCCUGGUAGUCCACGCCGUAAACGAUGAA